UGGGGAAUAUUGCACAAUGGGGGAAACCCUGAUGCAGCGACGCCGCGUGAGCGAAGAAGGCUUUCGAGUCGUAAAGCUCUGUCCUAUGAGAAGAUAAUGACGGUAUCAUAGGAGGAAGCCCUGGCUAAAUACGUGCCAGCAGCCGCGGUAAUACGUAUGGGGCGAGCGUUGUCCGGAAUUAUUGGGCGUAAAGGGUACGUAGGUGGUUUUUUAAGUCAGGUGUCAAAGCGUGGAGCUUAACUCCAUUAAGCACUUGAAACUGAAAGACUUGAGUGAAGGAGAGGAAAGUGGAAUUCCUAGUGUAGCGGUGAAAUGCGCAGAUAUCAGGAGGAACACCGGUGGCGAAGGCGGGUCUCUGGGCCGUUACUGACGCUGAGGAGCGAAAGCGUGGGGAGCGAACAGG
This 403-nucleotide ribosomal RNA is filed under the name Verrucomicrobiota bacterium. RNAcentral's name for it is "Verrucomicrobia bacterium partial 16S ribosomal RNA". It matches the Rfam family "Bacterial small subunit ribosomal RNA", at positions 355 to 776 of the family's 1533-position model. The record is from RNAcentral. Lineage: Bacteria; Pseudomonadati; Verrucomicrobiota.